AACGAACGCUGGCGGCAUGCCUAACACAUGCAAGUCGAACGAGAACUUCGGGUCUAGUGGCGCACGGGUGCGUAAAGCGUGGGAAACUGCCCUUAGGAUCGGAAUUACUCCCCGAAAGGGGUGCUAAUACCGGAUAAUGUCUUCGGACCAAAGCUUUAUCGCCUUUGGUUGGGCCCGCGUUGGAUUAGCUAGUUGGUAGGGUAAAAGCCUACCAAGGCGACGAUCCAUAGCUGGUCUGUGAGGAUGAACAGCCACACUGGGACUGAGACACGGCCCAGACUCCUACGAGAGGCAGCAGUGGGUAAUAUAGGACAAUGGGCGAAAGCCUGAGCCAGCAAGGCCGCGUGAGUGAUGAAGGCCUUAGGGUUGUAAAGCUCUUUUAACCGGGAUGAUAAUGACAGUACCGGGAGAAUAAGCACCGGCUAACUCCGUG
Molecule: ribosomal RNA, 433 nt
Filed under: uncultured bacterium
Lineage: Bacteria
Description: partial 16S ribosomal RNA
Rfam family: Bacterial small subunit ribosomal RNA
Source: RNAcentral